This 274-nucleotide ribosomal RNA is filed under the name uncultured bacterium. RNAcentral's name for it is "partial 16S ribosomal RNA". It matches the Rfam family "Archaeal small subunit ribosomal RNA", at positions 473 to 747 of the family's 1478-position model. The record is from RNAcentral.
AAACCAGCACCUCAAGUGGUCAGGAGGAUUAUUGGGCCUAAAGCAUCCGUAGCCGGCUCUGUAAGUUUUCGGUUAAAUCUGUACGCUCAACGUACAGGCUGCCGGGAAUACUGCAGAGCUAGGGAGUGGGAGAGGUAGACGGUACUCGGGAGGAAGGGGUAAAAUCCUUUGAUCUUUCGAUGACCACCUGUGGCGAAGGCGGUCUACCAGAACACGUCCGACGGUGAGGGAUGAAAGCUGGGGGAGCAAACCGGAUUAGAAACCCGAGUAGUCC